RNAcentral lists this small RNA (148 nucleotides) under Macaca fascicularis (crab-eating macaque). Its description in RNAcentral is "Metazoan signal recognition particle RNA (ENSMFAG00000048348.1)". The record is from Rfam by way of RNAcentral. Lineage: Eukaryota; Metazoa; Chordata; Mammalia; Primates; Cercopithecidae.
GCUGGGCGUGGUGGCAGGCACCUGUAAUCCCAGCUACUUGGGAGGCUGAGGUGGGAGAAUCACUUGAACCUGGGAGGCGGUGGUUGCAGUGAGCCAAGAUCGCGCCACUGCACUCCACCCCAGGCGACAGAGUGAGACCCCACCUCAA